This 591-nucleotide long non-coding RNA is filed under the name Pogona vitticeps (central bearded dragon). RNAcentral describes it as "lncRNA (ENSPVIG00000025099.1)". Lineage: Eukaryota; Metazoa; Chordata; Lepidosauria; Squamata; Agamidae. The record is from RNAcentral.
UGCAGGAAUUGAAAGACGGCAGGUGUAGAAACACCCCAUUGGGAGAAAUGAGUAAACUCACAGUGUCUCCAGAGUUAUAGAAGAGAUGGAGGGGAUUUCCUUAUAUAUAUAUAUAUAUUCCUUUUUCUCCCCCUAAGCUGUGAGGCGCCUGUCCCUUUAAACAGUGGAUUUUGGAAGGAGCUUAAUAAAGCGAUCGCUGCUCUAGCUGAUGCCUUGUUCCAAUGCUCCUGGGGAUCUGCAGAGGCAACAGAGAGGGUUGCAGCAUUACAAAAGCUUCCUCUUGCAAGCUGAGCUUCAGAAUGUAGUGGAAAAUUCAGGGCAAAGCUGUGAGGAGGUAUGUGGCAGUGAGAGAAAGGAUCAAGAAGGUGAUUCUUCUGAGCUCCAGGUACUUCUUUUGAAUUAACCCAUAUUCUUUACAACUCAUUUAAUCAAAAUCCUCAUCUUAGAACUGCAGAGCUGGAAGGGACCCUAUAGAUCAUCAAGUCCAGCCCAUCAAGGAGGCACCGUGGGGGAAUCAAACUCCAAACCUCUGGCUCUGCAGCCCGAUGCCUAAAUCACUCAGCUACAGUAUCUAGCAGUUAAGAGCCCGAA